AACAGGGAAGAAAGCAGGACUGGUGAGCAGCAGAGAAAACACCUCCAAGAAUAAAACUACACCCCGGGGUACAGUCCCUUAACUUCUGCAUUUAUAAUCAUUCUCCUCUUGGCUUACUACUUCCCAUGAGCCUCCCUUUCUCUGCAGUAUUACAGAGAAACUCAUGUUUUUAUCCUGCACAUGCUCAGUAAACUCUCUUCUACAGAGCUGUGCCUCAGCCCUUCUAUAAACUGUAACCUGGAUGUGAAGAUGAAAGAAUGGUAAUACUUAACAUCAGGGUAGCUUAUUAGUAAAGUUCUUCCCAGCCUGCAAACUGCCCUAGGUUAAACAGAUUACUGUGAAAAAGAGGAAUAUAGAGGAAAUGAUACUCUGAAAGAGAAAUUUCCUUCCCUAUGGAAAUUUACACAGAAUUUAACUGAAUUGAAUUGCUCAAUCAAGACCAAUCUCCUGCAAAAUAGACAAGCAUACCUUAACAGAAUGCAAGGUAGCUAGGCUUUCAUGUUUAUAUCAUGUGUAGCACAAUAUUGUACAACUGGGGACCAAUACCAAAGUCCAGAGUUCCUUCUACUUGGCUAGCAUAGUCUCAUCUAAUUCUUCCAACAGAGUGAAAACUGGGGCAUUUCUCCAAGCUGUUAUAUUUAGUAAAAUGAUACUUACUUAGGUCUCCCUAGGAAUACCAACUGGGAUUUUCCAUAGUUUCAAUGCAGAUUAACCCAUUUUCUUGACCUUUGGUCUAGAUGAAGUAAUUUUAUUACUGGGACUCUAAGGUGGUUUUUGUUUAAUGUUUAGAUUUACUUCCAUUACGUAUAUGAGUGUUUUGCUGGAUUGUCAGCGCACCAUGUGCGUGCCCGGUGCCCAAGUAGAUCAGAAGAGGGCAUCAGAUUCCCUGGAACUAGAAUUAACAGAGGGCUGGAUGUAAACUGCCAUGUGGGUGCUAGGAAUCAAACCUGGGUCAUCUAAAAGAGUGCUCUUAACUGAGCUACAUCUCCAGCUCCUACUUUAAGAUCAGCAAACCUCAGAAUUAGCGAAGAUAAUCAAGGUUACACACACAAUGGAAAAAUAAUUAUAGAACACAAUGAAACAAUCUACAGUUGAUAAAAGUUUAAAAUACAUUGUUUAAUUAUGGUUCUUUAAACAAAUAAUUUUUAUUUUUAAAAAUUUAUAAAAGUAGACAAGAGUGAAACCCUGUCCCAAAACACC
This 1200-nucleotide long non-coding RNA is filed under the name Mus musculus (house mouse). RNAcentral describes it as "long non-coding RNA chr12:31938655-31939855". The record is from RNAcentral. Lineage: Eukaryota; Metazoa; Chordata; Mammalia; Rodentia; Muridae.